Molecule: long non-coding RNA, 2757 nt
Organism: Triticum dicoccoides
Lineage: Eukaryota; Viridiplantae; Streptophyta; Magnoliopsida; Poales; Poaceae
Exons: 2
Source: RefSeq, a predicted model, not a curated record
UGCGACAAGGCUUCCAUCAUUAUUUGUUUCUGUUUAAUUUGUCCACACACAUUUCUUGCAUGCAUGGUUUAUUUUGACUCUUGUAAUCCUUGUGCAGCAGGGAACAAAGAAACUGUACCUUGACUGGCAAUGAAAACCUUCUAAUUAGUAGUUAAACUGUACCCCUUCAAAACAAUAUGAUUGAGUUUUAAUAUCCUCAGUGACUAAUUAUUUGCUCUCAAUGAUCAUAACAGAGAGAUUGACAUUCGGACAUUGAUUUGUGUAAGGAAGUUUCUGAUGAGCCCUUGAGGCGGAUUGAAUCUGAACGAGUGGCCAGGGUAUCAGAGGCAAACAAGGUCCAACGACCGGAAGAAACUGAGGAACAUCUUUCCAAGAUACAACAAGAGUUGCAACAAGUUAAAGCACGACAAAAUGAGGUCGCUGAUGAGCUACAGAAAGCUAAUAAGCAUAAUGAGCAUGUUCAGCAUCAGCUCUUGGAGUCCAAGAAUGGUCAUAGUGAGGAACUUUAGAGAGCCAAUGAGCAUAGUUUGAAUCUUCAACAUCAGCUCUCGGAAUCCAAAGAGCAGUAUAAUGAGCUUCAGUCCAAGCAUUACGACUUGCUAAGGAACGAGAUACUGCACUCAAAGAGGUACUCCCUCCGUCCGGGAAAAGUUGUCCCUGUGGCAAUUUUACGAAAACCUCCUCGGUGUAUUCCCAACAAACGACGCACUCCCCCCACCUCCGCUCCUCUCCCGCCGGUUCGCCCUGCUCGUCUCCUCCCUUGCCGGAGCCCUCUGCUAGGCUCCCCAAGAAGCAUCUGCUGGCGUCGCCGGAGAUUCCCUGCGCAAGAAGCUCCCUGCUCUGCUCCCCCUCCUUGUUCCCCACCUCCUCCGCCCCGUUGCUUCCCCGGGCGAGGAGAAGCAUCGAUUUUUCCGACCUCCGACAGAAGCCGCAGCUGCCCUGCUCCACCACCGCCACAGCUUGCCGCCGCCGUAACUGCCUCCUCCGUGGCUCUCUCCUGCUCGCGCAGCUCAAGCUUGCCUUCCUCCCCUAGCUUCCCCCCUCCCUAGUGACCUCCGCGCUCUGCUCCGGCUGCUUCAGACCCGGCGUCGGCAAGGCUGAUAUGGUGGCUGCGAGGCCAGACGGCGGCGAGAUCAGGUGGUUGAAGCUGGGAACGUCGCUUCCGGUCGCGAACAUCCAGGCCCUGGUGGCGUCCGCCGGCGAGCUGACGGCCGACCAGAUCGAACGGUACGUCCAGCCGGACAUCGACGCGCACGCCGUUCUCCCCGAGCACUCCGACGAGGUUCCGGUGAUUGACCUCAGCAACCUCUUGAGCCCCGAGUCCGUCGAGGCAGAGGUCGCGAAGCUCAGGUUUGCCUGCGCGGAGUGGGGCUUCUUUCAGGUGCGUCACUACUGUAAAUUGCUUACCAUUUAGUACAUGCAGCCGUCUCGUUUCUGUUGCUUAACUUGUCUGCCUAGUACAGAAUGGAUGGAUGACUGAAUGGAUGGAGUCACUGAUCCACCAGGGCCUAGUAAAAACUGAUCUUUUUUUACUGAAAUUUGCUGCUUCUGAGAUUUGCUUAAGACUGCAUGCCGGCCAACUGGUAUUUCUUCAGUUAGCAAAACAUGGCAGACAAAUCUCACUAGGGGAUCACACUUGGCCUGACAACAUCUGUGUGUAACUAGGGGGUCACACUUGGGGACACAAUGGGCUAAUUGACUAAUUUCUUCAGCAGCUCAUCCUAUUUUUACCUAAUUGACUGCAACCUCAGUCUCACUAGGGCAUCGCACUUGGCCUGACAACAUCUGUGUGUAAACUGGAAAUUCUAGCUUAGACUGAAACUUGAACAACUGAAUUUAUGCAUUUCAACUAGCAAAUGUGAGAUAAGAGUGAACAUUUAUUCUCAACUAGCAAAUGUCAGAUAAAUCAAAUUACUAAUUAGCUUUAGUGAUGGAUCUAGCAGGAUGAGUCAGUGAUUAAAAUCAUCCAUGAAUGAAUUAGUUAGAGGGCGGCCGGCAGUACUUGGUGUACUACUGCUGCUGUCUAGUAGAGUACUGCUUUCAUGAAAGAGGUAGAUAAAUGGAGUACUCCUUUUCAAGUAAUUUUGUCAUUUGUUUCAUGAUGUGGCAAGUAAUUUUGUCAUUGUUUUAGACUGCAAUCAAGUCUUUUUUCAUUGUUUCAAAAUGCUUCAGCCUGCUAGAUUCAAGUUCUGCUGAAACUGAAAAAAGGAACAGAACCACACUUGAAUAAUUUUCGAGUUCAGAACCACACAUUUUAUCAUUCUACUUCCAGGAAUUUUCCUGAUGAACCUGACAUGAUUUAUUGGUAGGGGUAUUCACUAUUCACUAGUCCACUAAGUCCAGGGUAUCAGUAGCAUUUUCUUCUUCUUUGGCAAGCCUUUUCUUGGUUGUGCGGUUAACUGAUCUUGUUAACAUGCUAACUGAAUUUUGCAAUGAAAAUUGCAUCGUUGGAUUGGCAGGAGUAGAAAAUUUGGUGUACACAGUGUACUGAGUUUUCAACUCUUGAUUGUUGUACUGGCAUGAAGCAAUAUAAAUGGCUGCCAUGGCACCAUUUCGAGAAAUAAGUGUAGUGUCAAAAUAUUCAUGUGAUUUCAAACCUGUGGCCAAACUGUUGUACAUUAUGUUUUCAGUAAGGAGCUCAAGUUCUUAACACAAACUUGCUUAGAUUUCGUUUUCAGUAAGGAUCCCAAGUUCUUAACUAUGACAAGAUUUUGUUUUUAGUGAGUCUAAAAUUAUUGCAGAGCUUUCUGAUGAUCA